AACGAACGCUGGCGGCAUGCCUAACACAUGCAAGUCGAACGAGACCUUAGGGUCUAGUGGCGCACGGGUGCGUAACGCGUGGGAACCUGCCCUUAGGUUCGGAAUAACUCCCCGAAAGGGGUGCUAAUACCGGAUAAUGUCUUCGGACCAAAGAUUUAUCGCCUUUGGAUGGGCCCGCGUUGGAUUAGCUAGUUGGUAGGGUAAAAGCCUACCAAGGCGACGAUCCAUAGCUGGUCUGAGAGGAUGAUCAGCCACACUGGGACUGAGACACGGCCCAGACUCCUACGGGAGGCAGCAGUGGGGAAUAUUGGACAAUGGGCGAAAGCCUGAUCCAGCAAUGCCGCGUGAGUGAUGAAGGCCUUAGGGUUGUAAAGCUCUUUUACCCGGGAUGAUAAUGACAGUACCGGGAGAAUAAGCUCCGGCUAACUCCGUG
This 433-nucleotide ribosomal RNA is filed under the name uncultured bacterium. RNAcentral's name for it is "partial 16S ribosomal RNA". It matches the Rfam family "Bacterial small subunit ribosomal RNA", at positions 29 to 507 of the family's 1533-position model. The record is from RNAcentral.